UAAGAUUGGUUUCAUGUUGAUGUAUUGUAUUUUAUUUUAUUUAUAGUCAGUUCAAGCUAAUACUUCAUAGCGAAAGAAUCAUUCUGUCAUUUGGCCCGAUUGUCAAAAGGCACAAAUACUCCGGAAGCUGGAAUUGGGGAAUCUACAGUCUUUUUGGCAAUCUAUAACAUCGCAACAUUGAAGUUAUUGCCUCAAGUAAGAGUAACAUCGACUGAUGGAUCACCAACUCUGAAUGAGAAACCAGAUUCAUUGCUGGAAUGCAUCCUGUCAUCCGGCAUGCCAAAUCUUCGACUGACUUAAGUCUCAAUUCCUCCCAAUUUGAGGCAGCUUCGCAUUGGACUCCAGAGGCUGUAACAUCGAUGUCGUUGGUGCGGCUGCCACUUCCAUUCAAUCAACAUCAUCUUGCUCUUCCGUUUGCUCUACUGAGCUGCGGAGGAGCAAAUGCUCAAAUCUGAGAACAUUGGUUAAUGGGACGACAUGAGUACUCCAGCUGGCUGCUGUUGUCUACGAAUCGCAUUGCAGAAUAGAUGAAUAGAUAGCAGUUUCAGUUCAGAAUCCACAGUGGGCUGUGUUUAAGCUUCCUUGUUGUCUUCACAAUCCGCUGCAAUAUUCUUCUGCUUCUCGGUAAAUUGGCGUGCACCGAGUUUUGCAGUAAGGCGCAUAGGAUGCAGAUGUAUGGAAUCCAGAGACACAGGCCAUACAUCUCCAAAGAAGCCUUCAGUGUGGAGUCUGUGAUCUUAAAGUUGAUUAAGUUUCUCUGAUGUCGACCCAGUGAUUCGAGAGUAUUAGUCCCUGAUGAUCUUCUUCAGCCAUUUUCUUAUUGUAAAAUUAGAAAAUAUUAACAAUACUUUAAUUUGUUAGCUCUCGCUAUGAAGUAUUAGCUUGAACUGACUAUAUUUCUAAAAUAUAAUACAAUACAUCAACAUAGGAA
Molecule: long non-coding RNA, 931 nt
Organism: Drosophila innubila
Lineage: Eukaryota; Metazoa; Arthropoda; Insecta; Diptera; Drosophilidae
Exons: 2
Source: RefSeq, a predicted model, not a curated record